GUACACUCUAGGAUUUGGAUAUGCUGUUUUCAUUUUUAGAGAGUGCAAAAGAAAAAUCCCUGCACUUUCUUUGUGGCAGCCCAGAUUGAACUGGGGAAUACAUCU
Small nucleolar RNA from Oryctolagus cuniculus (rabbit), 105 nucleotides. NCBI's taxonomy places the organism in Eukaryota, Metazoa, Chordata, Mammalia, Lagomorpha, Leporidae. The record is from Ensembl.